CCUACGGGGGGCUGCAGUGAGGAAUAUUGGUCAAUGGACGAGAGUUUGAACCAGCCAAGUAGCGUGAAGGAUGACUGCCCUAUGGGUUGUAAACUUCUUUUAUAAAGGAAUAAAACGAGGCACGUGUGCCUUUUUGCAUGUACUUUAUGAAUAAGGAUCGGCUAACUCCGUGCCAGCAGCCGCGGUAAUACGGAGGAUCCGAGCGUUAUCCGGAUUUAUUGGGUUUAAAGGGAGCGUAGAUGGGUUGUUAAGUCAGUUGUGAAAGUUUGCGGCUCAACCGUAAAAUUGCAAGUGAUACUGGCAGUCUAGAGUACAGUUGAGGUAGGCGGAAUUCGUGGUGUAGCGGUGAAAUGCUUAGAUAUCACGAAGAACCCCGAGUGCGAAGGCAGCUUACUAAACUGUGACUGACAUUGAUGCUCGAAAGUGUGGGUAUCAAACAGGAUUAGAUACCCGAGUAGUC
This 460-nucleotide ribosomal RNA is filed under the name uncultured bacterium. RNAcentral's name for it is "partial 16S ribosomal RNA". It matches the Rfam family "Bacterial small subunit ribosomal RNA", at positions 338 to 795 of the family's 1533-position model. The record is from RNAcentral.